CUACAUAUAAUGUACUUGCUCGCAUCCAUUUGGAAAACGAGACAACUAGAGAAGACAGUAUUUAUUAAUCUUCAAUUUAGGGACACCAUCAUUGUUUGAAUGGAUAUCAUUCUCCUUGGACGACUAGAAUACCUCGUGAUGCUUGUACAUAUUACGGUGAGCCAUCGGUCCUAGAAAAUGUUAAGUAGUUUAUGAAAGUCAAUGUAAAUAAAUUGUCACAAAGUAUAACAACAUAUAAAAUUAAUGUAUGCAAACACCUUACUUGAUCAUGCUGGCUUUCAUGAGAAUCAUCUUUUAGACAUCCAGAGACUCAUAAUUUCUUAUGCUCCUUGCACCACACCAUUAAACUUUUCUGAUUGUGUUUCACAAAAUGCCGGUGCAACUCUCCAUGCUAGUUGAUUCAAAAUAAAUACAACAUCUAAUAUAUCAUCCUUGUACAGAUCUCUUGCAAGGUUCUUCUCUACAUUUUUGAACUUGGUCCUAAAUUUUUAAUAAAACAGAGUAUCAUAAAUACGACAGUACAUAAAUUCAUAUUAUACUGGUACAACCUUUGACCAAACAUACCUUAAUUGAGUUAAAUGAAUGUUCACGCAUGCUUCAACAGUAUAGGACCGUACAUUUACCCUCAUCUGGGUAUUUAUAGGAUUAUGGAUGAUUGUACCCAAAUGAUCGGCAAAACUUUCGGAAAGAGCACGGUCAUUGUCAAACCGGAAUUCAAUUUUUUUGGAACUCCAUGAAACCAGCUACUCCCUUGUAUUGAUUUUGGUAAGAUCAAUUUGUCUGUUUCUUUCCUAAUUCAAGCGAAUUUUAUUCCAUUUCUUAGCAAAAUGUUUUGAGGCUUCCUUGUUGCUGGUAUAUACACAACUAAUGAAGUUAUUCUCCUCUGCCAACAAAGAAUAAUGUUCUGCUCAAGAAUAAGUGAUUGUAACCUGAACGUCACAAGUAGUCAAGUAAUGAAGGAACUAAUAAAUGCUCUGAUCUCUGAACCUAAAACGGACAAAAAGAAGAAGUUCAGGACCAUCAUUUAUAUGUAUAUAUACAUUUACUUUUCAUUGCUUAAAUAUAUAUUAUCAAGCAACUUCGUAGCUAGGAACGAACCUGCAAAUAAAAAGAGAACACAGGCUACGAGAAUGCAAAUGAAUAUACUACAUUAUAUCUACCAAAAUUCUAAAGGAGGGCUUGGCUGAUGAGUUUGCACAUCUAACAGCACACGUGCAAUCUUUAAUAUAAAGUACAAAUCUUGGAUUGUGACUCUAUUUCCAUUGACCAACACACACAAUAUCAGGGGCUUACACAAUACGAUAGUUUAAUAAUACAGUACAAAACAAAGGAAAAACUCAUGCGUGUCAUUUGGAACUGGCACAAGCCCGGUCCUAGGUCUUGCAGAUUCAUAGGAAAUACGGCCCUGCUACCGUGAUGGCAACAACAAAGUAUGGAAAGAAUACGACAAAUCCUUCCUAGUCUGACAAAUAUGGCAGCACUGGUUCCGUCAUGCAAGACCCGGCAGCAGACGUACCUCCCACCCACGGCGGUGUUUGGCGGUUGACGGCGCAUCUCUCGUUGGUAGUUCCGUCCACAACGAGUCCCUACGACGGGCGAUGUUGCCUGCGACAGUUCCACCGUGGCUGUGCUCGAUCGACGACAGAUGUCUUGUCUCCCAUCGGCUCCACCUGCGGCCGGAGAAGAUAUAUCAGGAUUGGGACAAGGAAAAACUAGGGAGAGGACGAGAGGAAAAGAAGAGUAGGGGAUGGGAUCGUAACAAAUCUAUUUUUUCGUUGUGCAUGGUUA
Molecule: long non-coding RNA, 1788 nt
Filed under: Hordeum vulgare
Lineage: Eukaryota; Viridiplantae; Streptophyta; Magnoliopsida; Poales; Poaceae
Description: long non-coding RNA (HVUL_LNC007700)
Source: RNAcentral